Molecule: unclassified non-coding RNA, 600 nt
Filed under: Hevea brasiliensis (rubber tree)
Lineage: Eukaryota; Viridiplantae; Streptophyta; Magnoliopsida; Malpighiales; Euphorbiaceae
Source: RNAcentral
ACAAUGUUGCCGCUGGAAAAAUGGGUUUGUAUUGGCACUUUCCAUUCAAUAUAUGAUUGCGUUUUGUGGUAUUAUUAGUAUUUGGAAUUUUUUUUUUGUUCUAAUGUUACAAUGCUCUUUGCUUACUGCAUUGGUUGUUACAAUGCUAAUUCUAAGUUGAAGACAUUUUGUUGUCCUGAAUUUCUGUUAACACUCUGAAUGCUGAUGCAAAAGUUAACCUCAUUUAAUGCUGAGCAUGUACAAGGAACGAAAGAAAAUAAAAGAAAAGAAAAAUGGAGAAUUGAAUAUUUGCUUGAUGUUUCAAUCAAAUUCUUUGUCAAAUAUUGGUAUAAAAACCCAAUUGCGAUCCUUGUGGUGUCUGCUCUUAAUUUCUAAUGAAGGUCCUUAAGGCUUUAACAUACUAUGUACAAAUUUACAAUGUAAAGAAAAGGUAACUGGUAUGUUCCGAUGCUCUAACUUUAAUCAGUUCUCCGUUAAAAAUGAUUUAAUAUCUUCUUGAUCUUUCUUUUUCUUCUUUGUUAAUCUUAAUGUGUAUAUGUUUCCUAUGCUGUUUAUAUUGACAAUAAAGAUGCUGCAGAUUGCCGAAUAUAAUGCACAUGA